Molecule: long non-coding RNA, 362 nt
Filed under: Dromaius novaehollandiae (emu)
Lineage: Eukaryota; Metazoa; Chordata; Aves; Casuariiformes; Dromaiidae
Description: lncRNA (ENSDNVG00000005717.1)
Source: RNAcentral
CCUCUCUGUGCAGGACGACUGCGUACGAAUGCUGUGGAGAUGCUCCAGUAACGCUGGGAGGAGAACCAAGACAGUUGCCAAGCUCGGGUCUCGGUGCACCAUCUCUUCUGAUCCCUCCCGCUUAAAAAGCUCACAGUUCAUCACGAGCAGAUCCGCCGAGCUCUCCGAUUGAUCCUGCUGAGCCACCCAGUUAGUGARAUGGUGAUGCUCUGAAUUCCCAAAGCCUUGAAAUUCCCAGGUUUCAGAAUUGUAUGCUUAUAUAAAACAGUCAUUUUUUUAAAAACAUGACAAGAAGCUAGAUGAUCAGUUGUGUGCAGAUGUAUAUUCUGGUUAACAGUGCCUUCCCGCGUGGCUGCCGCUGC